This 486-nucleotide ribosomal RNA is filed under the name uncultured bacterium. RNAcentral describes it as "partial 16S ribosomal RNA". It matches the Rfam family "Bacterial small subunit ribosomal RNA", at positions 28 to 523 of the family's 1533-position model. The record is from RNAcentral.
GACGAACGCUGGCGGCGUGCUUAACACAUGCAAGUCGAACGAUGAAGCCAGAGCUUGCUCUGGUGAAUUAGUGGCGAACGGGUGAGUAACACGUGAGUAACCUGCCCCGAACUCUGGGAUAACUGCUGGAAACGGUAGCUAAUACUGGAUACGACCUACGAAGGCAUCUUCUGUAGGUGGAAAGAAUUUCGGUUCGGGAUGGACUCGCGGCCUAUCAGCUUGUUGGUGAGGUAAUGGCUCACCAAGGCGACGACGGGUAGCCGGCCUGAGAGGGUGACCGGCCACACUGGGACUGAGACACGGCCCAGACUCCUACGGGAGGCAGCAGUGGGGAAUAUUGCGCAAUGGGCGAAAGCCUGACGCAGCAACGCCGCGUGCGGGAUGACGGCCUUCGGGUUGUAAACCGCUUUCAGCAGGGAAGAAGCCGCAAGGUGACGGUACCUGCAGAAGAAGCACCGGCUAACUACGUGCCAGCCGCCGCAGUAA